UACGUAGGGUGCGAGCGUUAAUCGGAAUUACUGGGCGUAAAGCGUGCGCAGGCGGUUGUGUAAGACAGGUGUGAAAUCCCCGGGCUUAACCUGGGAAUUGCAUUUGUGACUGCACGACUAGAGUGUGUCAGAGGGGGGUGGAAUUCUACGUGUAGCAGUGAAAUGCGUAGAUAUGUGGAGGAACACCAAUGGCGAAGGCAGCCCCCUGGGAUAACACUGACGCUCAUGCACGAAAGCGUGGGGAGCAAACAGG
This 253-nucleotide ribosomal RNA is filed under the name uncultured Limnobacter sp. Its description in RNAcentral is "partial 16S ribosomal RNA". It matches the Rfam family "Bacterial small subunit ribosomal RNA", at positions 524 to 776 of the family's 1533-position model. The record is from RNAcentral. Lineage: Bacteria; Pseudomonadati; Pseudomonadota; Betaproteobacteria; Burkholderiales; Burkholderiaceae.